GAUGAACGCUAGCUACAGGCUUAACACAUGCAAGUCGAGGGGCAGCGGUAUCGUAAGCUUGCUUUCGGUAGCCGGCGACCGGCGCACGGGUGAGUAACGCGUAUCGAACCUGCCUCAUACUCGGGAAUAGCCUUGCGAAAGUAAGAUUAAUGCCCGGUGUUUUCAGAGUCCCGCAUGAGGCUUUGAACAAAGAUUUAUCGGUAUGAGAUGGCGAUGCGUCCCAUUAGCUUGUUGGCGGGGUAACGGCCCACCAAGGCAUCGAUGGGUAGGGGUUCUGAGAGGAAUGUCCCCCACAUGGGAAUUGUGACACGGUCCACAAUCGUACGGCAGGCAGCAGUGAGGAGUGUUGCUCAAGGGGGGAAAGCCUGAAACAGCCAAGUAGCGUGAAGGAACACGGCCGUCUGGGUUGUAAACUGCUUUUAGUUGGGAACAAAACGGGGCUCGUGAGCCACAUUGCCUGUACCAGAAGAAAAAGGACCGGCUAACUCCGUG
RNAcentral lists this ribosomal RNA (492 nucleotides) under uncultured bacterium. RNAcentral describes it as "partial 16S ribosomal RNA". It matches the Rfam family "Bacterial small subunit ribosomal RNA", at positions 28 to 507 of the family's 1533-position model. The record is from RNAcentral.